AGGGACGUCGCCAAGUUGGUUAAGGCACGGGGUUUUGAUCCCCGCAUUCGCAGGUUCGAGUCCUGCCGUCCCUGCCA
This 77-nucleotide transfer RNA is filed under the name Halomonas denitrificans. Its description in RNAcentral is "tRNA-Gln". It matches the Rfam family "tRNA". From Rfam's summary of the family: Transfer RNA (tRNA) molecules are approximately 80 nucleotides in length. Their secondary structure includes four short double-helical elements and three loops (D, anti-codon, and T loops). RNAcentral also lists the same sequence under 6 other names. Lineage: Bacteria; Pseudomonadati; Pseudomonadota; Gammaproteobacteria; Oceanospirillales; Halomonadaceae. The record is from RNAcentral.